Bactrocera dorsalis (oriental fruit fly) is the source of this 5604-nucleotide long non-coding RNA. RefSeq lists it as uncharacterized. The record is from RefSeq and is a predicted model, not a curated record. The transcript has 2 exons. NCBI's taxonomy places the organism in Eukaryota, Metazoa, Arthropoda, Insecta, Diptera, Tephritidae.
AAAAUUAAUUUCAAAUUAAUCGAAUAAUCUAAAAUUAGUUUCAGUUUGGUCAACUAAACUAAGAUUAAUUUCUUGUUAGUCGUUUAAUAUAAGAUUAAUUUCAGAUUAAGCGACUAACUCAAAUUAAAUUAUUAAUAUCCAAAAUUAUCGAUUAAUCGAAAAAAUACACCGAUCGGCUAGUUAGCUCCAUUUAUCGCGUUAGUCAAAAAUUUUCCGUAGUAACAUUUUCAACACCUUAUAAAAAUAUAUAUAUUAGACAAUUAAAAUCGUUUAACCAAAAGUCGAUUAGUUAAUCACUAUCACAAUUAAUCGAUUAUUCACCACACAGAUAUACACUCGUCUUCACUGAAUCACUAACAUAAAAACUUCAUUUGAAAUUAAUUACAGGCCUAUAUUUACUUCAAAAGCAAAUAAUUCGAAACCACAAUCAACUUCACCUUAUGUACAUUGUAAAUAUGAAAACAUACUAAUUUGUGGCAGAGCAAAUAUACCUAGAUAUUCAUACAAAUAUCAUUACCGGCAUAAAUCACAAAUCGUCAAGCAAUUAAUCAAGCCAUCAAUAUAAAUGUGUCACAAUUAAGGCAUACAAUAUUUCAACCAGAGGGUUUAAGUAUACAAAACAUAUACAUAAAUAUCUCACAAUCAAAUUAAAUUAAAUAUUAGCUGUCCUGCAAUAAAUUAAAAUUUCACUCGAGACUCAAGAAAUUUAAAAGCUCAAGUUUGUUUUUUGAGGUAAGUGAAUUUUUUGACUUUUUUUUUGCAAAGAAAAUUAUUUGUGAGAAAGCUAGCCCAAAGUCUGAAAAGUAUGGUUCGAGCUUUUGAUAUAUUUGAGCAUCGCCGAAUUUUUAACCUUUUUGAAACGGCUUAUCACCUAGCUUCUGAAAGAUGGAAUACAGUGAAAGCUUGCAGUCUUAAUCAAAGGAUACAAAAUGGCGCACUUGUCCAAUACAUAUACUUUCAUAUUUGUAUGUCAAGUUUAACUUUGGUGAAAGCUUACAAGCUUUCCAGAGCUAGUAAUAAACCAGCAAGCUUUGCUCAGCUUAAAGCAGAUAUGAAAGCUCUGAUUACGAAAAUAGUAGAACAUAUAUAAGUAUUUCUGCUUGUAAUCUUCUUGAUUUCUAAAGCUUUCCAUCAAUUAAUUAUUUUUAAUAGCUUGCUAAUAUCUAAUUACUUUUGGUGUCUUUCGACAAACCCUUUUUUUGAUUAAAGGAAGUUACAACUUUUUAGGCAAAAGCACUUAAUUUAGAAUUAAGCGUUAUGCUUUAUUAACUUUCUUAAAGCUUUUUUUGUGUUUAGCUCUGAGGCUUAAUGAAAGCUCUAAAGUUUUUUUUGCGUAAAGUAAAAGAGACAAAUGAAAGCUCUCAAGCUUUAAUGCUCAAAGCUUUGAAGAUUGAUGAAAGCUUUAAAGCUUUUAAGCACAAGGCUUCAAGGAUUGGUGAAAGCUUUAAGGUUUUUAAGCACAAAACUUACUGAAAUAUUUAUUUCAGUGCGUAAACGGCUUAAAAUAAGAUUUUUUUUUUAUUUUUAGUAAAGUGAAUGAGUUUUCAAGUAGUGAAAUAAUAAAACACAAGUUCUACAGCAAACGCAAUUUUACACCCAAAUCAUGCACAGGAUAAGUACACUUGCAGGACAGCUAGUAUUAUUUAAUAUAUGUAAAAUAUGUACAUAUAUACAAAUAACCCGUCAUAUCUCACCCCUCACAUAAGCAGCAUUAUCGUUCGUGGCAAUCAGUAACUCCACAGCUUUGCAAAUACUGUUUUUAUACUGUAAUCACCAAAUAAAUAUCAAUAGCCAUCUCAGAGCACACAUAUGUAGUAUAACUGUACAUGCCAUUUCACAAACACACAAGCACAGUUAAAGAGAAGUUAGAUGUUAUUGAUAGCCCUACAACCCGACUCAUCAAUCAACACGCAAGUCAAAGUCAUUGAAAUAUCACAAACAAAUAAAAACAAAAAUAAAAUUAAUUGAGCAGAAUUCAAUAUGAUUUUUGAAAUCGAAUAUAUGCGAUUGCAAAUUAUAAAUAUGUAAAUAUUAAAUUUCGAACCAAAAGCGAUAAGCAAUGAAUUUUAAAUAUUUUCAAUCAGAUAUUCGAACUCCAAUAUCUACAAAGGUAAAUGAAAUGAAAAUUAUUGAAAUAUAAAUAUUGCUUAUAGUAUUGCAAGGCAAUUUAAAUACACGCUACAACAACAAAACGGCUAUACGACGUCUGUAGCUCGAGUAAAGUAUUAAAUUAGCGUAAAAAUAUUCAUUUGUAAUUUUAGCUGUAAAUAAAUGAUAAUUAAGCUUAAAAAAUAAAAGUUAAAAUGAAAAUAAAUAUGUACAGCGGCGGUGCAACAGCAAAUAUGUAGUAGAUAAAAAUAUGUUAUAUCAAAAAAUAUUUAAAAUUUAAAUUACAUUUAAAAUAAAGUAUUUAAUCAAGCAUGCACUUUUAAGAUUUUUUAAAGUGAAUUUUACUUUUCUAAUGUAUGAUUUUGUAAAUUACGUCAAAGGUCGACGAAGAAUAGUAGAAAUGACAACUCAAAUGUAAUAUUAAAAAAAUUAUAUUAUAUAACUGCAAUACACGAGAAAAAAUACAUUUAUAAAAAUAUUAAAAAUUUCAAAUUUUUUGUAAUUAAAAAAAUUAAUAUUUCUUUGUUGUAAAUAAAAAUUGCAAAAUUACUCAAAACCUAAAACAUAAUUUUUUUGCAAACAACAACCAUUUUUUGUGCAAAAAAAAAUAAAAUUUUUUAUUUGUAAUUUGCACUUAAAAUUUUUUGUAAUUGCAACUUUUUUCGUAAUUUGUAAUUUUUUUUUUUAAUUUGUAAAUUUUCUUUUUUUUUUUUAAAUUUGUAUAAAAAACUGUAAUUUGCAAAAAUGAACUUUUGUAACUUAGCAACAUAUAAAUUAAAUGUAAUUAUGCGUUAGUACUAUUAAAUUUUUUUACAAAAAUAAGAAAAAUUAUCUCUAAGCAAACACACGAAAAAGUCAUUUUAGUUUGUAAUGAAAAAAAAAUUAUUUAUAACUCGAAAACUUUUUGUAAAUUUCUUAAUUAUUGAAAGUAAGAUUUUUUAAGAAAACGCAAUUUUAUUUCAAAAAAAAAAUCAGCACCCAAAAGUAAAAAUUUUAAGACAACUUUUGAUUCUUAUAAAAAGAACACUUGGUAUACGAUUCUUGGUCUCAUUGAAAAUUAUUUUUCAUACUAAAAAAAUUAAAAACAAAAAUAAAAAUCCAUUUUAUAUAUAAAUAAAAAACCACAGCAAACAAACAAGCAAAUAUACAUAAAAAUAAUUACAAAAACAAUAUUAAAUUCUUAUACAUAUAUAUGUAUGUACCAUAUAAAAAUGCAGCAAACCCGCUUUUAAUUUUUUGCCACUACACAAACUACAGUUAUUUGUGCAUUAAGUCAGUAAGAUUUUUUUUCUGCCUAAAUGCAGACGAAUUUGGUUCUAUUUACUUUUACGUGUAUUAUUAAUUAUAUAUUAUUUUUCCACUUAAGCUUAGCAAUUAUCAAUGCAAAUACAUAUUUACUUUAAUUUAUAACACAAAAAAGGCAAAAAGUAAAACUUAUAAAUACAAAAUAUAUAUACAUAUAUCAAAAAAUUCAAAUAUUUUUGUUUUAUUCAAGAACUUUUAUUUUUACCAACCUAUUAAAAAAAAAUAAAUAUUAUUUUAUAAAUUAAAGAAAAUUAAUAUAAAAAAAAUAAUUUUUUCGAGAAAAAAAUAUAGAAUAAUAAUUUUAAUUUAAUUUAUAAAAUAAUAAUUUUCUUUUAUCGUAAAAUUAUUAUUUUCUUUUAUCGAAAAAAUUAUUAUUAUUUUUUCUCAAUCGAGUUUCCACUUAAAGUCACAUGCGACUAUUUUAAGUUGACAGUCCUCUUACCUUGAGUUAACUUGUUCUCUUCAGUAUGUCAUUUUUAUUAUUUACACACCACAUUCUAAUAAAAAAUCAAAAAGUUAAUGAUUUAUACACCAAACUAAUAUUAGUGUAAAAAAAUCUCGGAAACGCACAUUAAUGAUAAAAAUUAUGAUAAAAUAUAAUAUUACUACUAAUAUAAAAUAUUAUGUAAAAAAUAUAUAUAAAUGUCUAUGCGAUACCAGAAUCAUACAUACCCACACAUCUAAGCAUAAAAUAUACACCGGAAAGCGACGAAAUGGAGAAAGUAUGCUAGAAAUAUUGCAGAAAAAUUAGAAGCAAGAAACUUCAAAGCCCGCCAUGCAGCUAAAUUCUAGACUACACUUGGUCUAGACGCAAGACAGCAAAAUGUUGGAGAAGAACGCUGACCCAUUCACAUGAUACACAUUCGUGUAUUUUUGUAAGUGAAAACAUGGAAAAUCAUAUCAAAAGCACCAAGGAUAACAAAAAAUUAAAGGACAUACAACAAUAAAAACAUACAUAUUAAUCAUAUAAAUAGGGCGUAGCAAGUUUUAAGCGGAACAGUAGGGUUCAAUAAAAAUUUAACAUAAAAUUCCACAAGACAUCACAUAAAAUAUGAACUUAUACUUGUAUAAAAUACCAAAAACGAAUAUGAAAAUACAAAAUUAAUGCAAUAAGUAAAUAAACAAAAAUACAAACAUUUAAUGGCAGCUAUUUUACAUUUUUUCAUACAAUAAUGCACACAUACUACUUACAAAAACACAUUGCGAUAAAAAAAAGUUGAAAAAUUCGUAAGAGAAAAUGUCAAUACUGGACUUAAAGCAGACGAGCAAGCAAUGUUAUUAAAAUUAUAAAAUAUGUGUAUGUAUACAUAAUAGGAAAGUAAUUAGAAGUUUGUAGGUUUAUAAAUAUUAGGCAGACAUGCAAAUACUCAGCAUUAACCAUUGUAAAUAUUUACUGUAAAAUAAUCCUUCCUCUCUGCAAGGAAAUAACUUCGAAAAGGCGAGUAAUUGGGUAGUAUUCUAGUUAGAUGUGCAGCUCGGGCAAUUAGUUGCUUGGAAAAUGUAAAUAAAUUAGUUGCUUUUGAUUUAUUUGCUAAUGACUCAUAAAUUAAUGCUCAAAUUAGUAAACAGCCAACUGAAGACAUAAUUAAAAAGCAGUUACAAAUGAAAUUUAGGUUGAGAAAAAGCGUCUGUCAGUCGUUUACAGGGCAUUUUAAAUACUCUCACAGAUCUUUUAAUUACACAGACGUUUUUUCUCAUGCUAAAUUUCUUUUGUAACUGCUAAAUAUAAUUUAUAAGAUGCCUUUAAUAAAAACUUCAGUUAAAUUAUUACUUUUCUUCAGUUAUGUUAAUACUUUUCAAAGGUAUUUAUUAUAUUUUCUUUCUAAUAACUGAAAUUAAUAUACCAGAGAAUGACUUCAAGCCUACUUUCCAUAAUUUUAGUCACUUUUUUUGUACAGUAUGAGUCACUCAGAAAUUUCAAAAAUCUAAUUCAGACCUUAAUUUGACAUUUCGUAAUUUUGAUGUGACGUCACUCUAGCGUAAUACAGGGAGAUAUGUAUGUGCGAAAAACUAAAAAAAAAAUAAAAUGUGAAAAUUAGAAAACGUUGUGUAUGUUAGUAAGAAAAUAUCAAAAUAACAACUUUUAUCAUUCUAUGUGGUAAAUUUGGGAACGUAUUCAUUUAAACUAAAUAAAUAGGAAUCAUUUAAUUGUGAUGUUCAUUUGUCUGAAGAACUUAAACAAGAACAGAU